This 253-nucleotide ribosomal RNA is filed under the name uncultured bacterium. RNAcentral's name for it is "partial 16S ribosomal RNA". It matches the Rfam family "Bacterial small subunit ribosomal RNA", at positions 524 to 776 of the family's 1533-position model. The record is from RNAcentral.
CACGGGGGGAGCAAGCGUUGUUCGGAAUCACUGGGCGUAAAGGGCGUGUAGGCGGUCAAGUAAGUGGAAUGUGAAAGCCCCCGGCUUACCCGGGGAUCUGCAUCCCAAACUGCUUGGCUUGAGUACGGGAGAGGAUAGGGGAAUUCCUGGUGUAGCGGUGAAAUGCGUAGAUAUCAGGAGGAACACCGGUGGCGAAGGCGCCUGUCUGGCCCGAUACUGACGCUGAGGCGCGAAAGCUAGGGGAGCAAACGGG